GUUUACUAACAGCAGUCGCCCGGCAACCCGAGAGGCCGGCCUCGAACCCUGCCCGCUUAGGGAACUCACCUGCCAGGAAUUCUCCUUCCUCUGCCUGCCCGGGCAGGUUCUUCCCAUUUUAGUGCAACCCUCGGAACUUCCCGACCCGGAGAGUGGGCCGAGGUCUCCCGGCCGAGAGUCAGCGCCCUCUCGGGCUCCGCCCGGCCCGUUCCGCAGCCCCGGAGGCCUGGUCCAGGCUGGGGCGGGGCAGGGAGAGGGGCGGGAGGGGCCUGCUUCCACCCAGCCGCCGCCCCUGGAGUCACCCACCAAGAUGACAGUGCUGAAAAUAACUCGUGUCAACCAGGGGUGGUGACGGCGCCUUAGAUCUGCGGGUGACCCUGGCGGAGCGCCUGCCUGAUCUGCCUGCUGUGAAGACACUGGCGGUUCUUAAAAUUUUAAAAAGACGGGCGGUGCGAGGCGCCCCCAGACGCAGCUGCCGUGAGAGAGAGCCGGCCCAGCCCAGCCCGCGUCCGCCCUCCUGUGCUGGACGCGCAAGACUUAUAGGAGGAGGAAGUGGGAGUUUCACGUUUACUUUCUUUAAAAAAAGGAACGCUCUGGUGUUUCAUGUUUAGCAAGCACUUACUCCGACUUAAAAGAAUCUUCAUCAACUUCCAUCCCCCAA
Heterocephalus glaber (naked mole-rat) is the source of this 661-nucleotide long non-coding RNA. NCBI's taxonomy places the organism in Eukaryota, Metazoa, Chordata, Mammalia, Rodentia, Bathyergidae. The record is from Ensembl.